GACGAACGCUGGCGGCGUGCUUAACACAUGCAAGUCGAACGGAAAGGCCCUGCUGUUGUGGGUUGCGCGUGUGGCGAACGGGUGAGUAACACGUGAGUAACCUGCCCUUGACGUUGGGAUAACUUCAGGAAACUGGGGCUAAUACCGGAUAGGAGCUCCUGCUGCAUGGUGGGGGUUGGUAAGAUUCGGCGGUUGGGGAUGGACUCGCGGCUUAUCAGCUUGUUGGUGUGGUAGUGGCUUACCAAGGCUUUGACGGGUAGCCGGCCUGAGAGGGUGACCGGCCACAUUGGGACUGAGAUACGGCCCAGACUCCUACGGGAGGCAGCAGUGGGGAAUAUUGCACAAUGGGCGGAAGCCUGAUGCAGCAACGCCGCGUGCGGGAUGACGGCCUUCGGGUUGUAAACCGCUUUCGCAUGUGACGAAGCGUGAGUGACGGUAAUGGGUAAAGAAGCACCGGCUAACUACGUG
This 468-nucleotide ribosomal RNA is filed under the name uncultured bacterium. RNAcentral describes it as "partial 16S ribosomal RNA". It matches the Rfam family "Bacterial small subunit ribosomal RNA", at positions 28 to 507 of the family's 1533-position model. The record is from RNAcentral.